AACAGGAUUAGAUACCCUGGUAGUCCAUGCCGUAAACGAUGAUUACUAAGUGUUGGAGGGUUUCCGCCCUUCAGUGCUGCAGCUAACGCAUUAAGUAAUCCGCCUGGGGAGUACGACCGCAAGGUUGAAACUCAAAAGAAUUGACGGGGGCCCGCACAAGCGGUGGAGCAUGUGGUUUAAUUCGAAGCUACGCGAAGAACCUUACCAGGUCUUGACAUCUUCUGACAGUCUAAGAGAUUAGAGGUUCCCUUCGGGGACAGAAUGACAGGUGGUGCAUGGUUGUCGUCAGCUCGUGUCGUGAGAUGUUGGGUUAAGUCCCGCAACGAGCGCAACCCUUAUUACUAGUUGCCAGCAUUAAGUUGGGCACUCUAGUGAGACUGCCGGUGACAAACCGGAGGAAGGUGGGGACGACGUCAAAUCAUCAUGCCCCUUAUGACCUGGGCUACACACGUGCUACAAUGGAUGGUACAACGAGUCGCGAAACCGCGAGGUUAAGCUAAUCUCUUAAAACCAUUCUCAGUUCGGACUGUAGGCUGCAACUCGCCUACACGAAGUCGGAAUCGCUAGUAAUCGCGGAUCAGCAUGCCGCGGUGAAUACGUUCCCGGGCCUUGUACACACCGCCCGUCACACCAUGAGAGUUUGUAACACCCAAAGCCGGUGGGGUAACCUUUUAGGAGCUAGCCGUCUAAGGUGGGACAGAUGAUUAGGGUGAAGUCGUAACAAGGUAACC
This 731-nucleotide ribosomal RNA is filed under the name uncultured bacterium. RNAcentral's name for it is "bacterial SSU rRNA". It matches the Rfam family "Bacterial small subunit ribosomal RNA", at positions 771 to 1501 of the family's 1533-position model. The record is from RNAcentral.